RNAcentral lists this long non-coding RNA (237 nucleotides) under Mytilus galloprovincialis (Mediterranean mussel). The record is from RNAcentral. Lineage: Eukaryota; Metazoa; Mollusca; Bivalvia; Mytilida; Mytilidae.
GCUGCAUUUUGUAAAAACCUUUUCUAAUUCAGUCUGUUGUUUUCGUGUGUUCAUUUUUAUUUUGUAUACGUUAUAAUAAGGUUGUUGUUUUCCUGGCUUGAAAAAGAUUUUUACUGGCCAUUUUGGGGUCCUUUACAGCUGAUUUGAUAAAAAUCCUAGCUUACUUUACCUACAUUGUGUAUUAAAUGGAGAGUUGUCUCAUUGGCAUUCAUACCACAUCUUCUUAUUCAUUUAUUC